Molecule: long non-coding RNA, 701 nt
Filed under: Marmota monax (woodchuck)
Lineage: Eukaryota; Metazoa; Chordata; Mammalia; Rodentia; Sciuridae
Source: RNAcentral
UUGGAUGAGCUAUUGUACCAAAAGCUUUUCCAAAUGGGGUAAAGUCCGACAGCAAUCUUCUUUUCAGUCUGCUCCUUGAUCACUCAGCAAGUACUAAGAUGUUUCAAAGGUUAAAAUUUCACCCUUCUCCUUCUGCUGGUUCAAGAUAUAGCAAUUUGAAAACCUCAGCAAAAAAAGAAAGAAAGAAAGAAAGAAAGAAAGAAAGAAAGAAAGAAAAAGUGUGGGUGGUGUAUAAAGGAUUUUCAACAAAAAGAACAGACAAGGCAGGAAUAUAUAGCACAAAACUCUGUGGGAGAGAAUGAGUCAUGGAAAAUUAAAAAAUUUGAAUUGCCUCUGGCCUUUCCUGACAACCUUAGAAAGCACUGAGGAAAAAAAUUGAUGGAUUCAUUUUUAAACAAUCCUAUUUGAAGACUUCUGCUCAGAUUUCAACAUCAAGGGAUAAAACAAUCUUUCUACUUCUCAAACGUGAGUUCUUCUAGUAAUGCUUGUAGUUCUAAUUUAAAUAGUUUAGACUGACUAUGGGAUAAAAUACAAGUAUGAUGAAUUUGAAGUCUCUUGCUAAAACAAGUGCAAAAUGACAGUGGGACUAUAAGCUUUAGCCCUCUAUUUCUGAAUUAUGAAGCUAAAGGUGGUUGUGAGAUCAAAUGCAUUUCUGGGAUACAAUGUAGCACCAAACUGGUUGUUGAGGAUUAAUAUUUCUA